UACGAAGGGGGCUAGCGUUGUUCGGAAUUACUGGGCGUAAAGCGUAUGCAGGCGGAUCGUUAAGUCGGGGGUGAAAUCCCGAGGCUCAACCUCGGAACUGCCUUCGAUACUGGCGACCUUCGAGUCCGGGAGAGGUGAGUGGAACUCCGAGUGUAGAGGUGAAAUUCGUAGAUAUUCGGAGGAACACCAGUGGCGAAGGCGGCUCACUGGCCCGGUACUGACGCUGAGAUACAAAAGCGUGGGGAGCAAACAGG
Molecule: ribosomal RNA, 254 nt
Filed under: uncultured bacterium
Lineage: Bacteria
Description: partial 16S ribosomal RNA
Rfam family: Bacterial small subunit ribosomal RNA
Source: RNAcentral